GAUGAACGCUGGCGGCGUGCUUAACACAUGCAAGUCGAACGGAGUGCCUUUGAAAGAGGAUUCGUCCAAUUGAUAAGGUUACUUAGUGGCGGACGGGUGAGUAACGCGUGAGGAACCUGCCUUGGAGUGGGGAAUAACACAGUGAAAAUUGUGCUAAUACCGCAUAAUGCAGUUGGGUCGCAUGACUCUGACUGCCAAAGAUUUAUCGCUCUGAGAUGGCCUCGCGUCUGAUUAGCUGGUUGGUGGGGUAACGGCCUACCAAGGCGACGAUCAGUAGCCGGCCUGAGAGGGCGACCGGGCCACAUUGGGACUGAGACACGGCCCAAACUCCUACGGGAGGCAGCAGUGGGGAAUAUUGCACAAUGGGGGAAACCCUGAUGCAGCGACGCCGCGUGAAGGAAGAAGUA
RNAcentral lists this ribosomal RNA (407 nucleotides) under uncultured bacterium. RNAcentral describes it as "bacterial SSU rRNA". It matches the Rfam family "Bacterial small subunit ribosomal RNA", at positions 28 to 415 of the family's 1533-position model. The record is from RNAcentral.